AACCAAGGCUAAUAUAUUAUGAUAGAAGUUGUAUCAGAAUUCUUGCUGCAUUUUCUUACAUCUGCAUCUUUACUCUGCUAAUGAAGAGGAGGAUUUGAAGCAGCUAGAGAAGAGGCUCUGUGUAACUUGUUGUCUUUAGCUCCAAGUUUUGUUUUUUCCAGACAGAGUGCUCUUACAAGUUUCGUAUCCAAUCUGACUCCAAGCUUUUGGAGAGGCAAUAGCCAUAUAAAGCCUCUGGAGUUGACCCCACACCAACACAAACAACAGAAAUUGAGAGAGUGCCACAAAACAGAAGACAACAUGGAGAGAUGUGGACAUGGCCCAUACCGUCCAUCCUCAUGUAACAAAAGAUGCCUUGUUCCAAUAUGCCAUGUCCCGACCAUGCACGUUGACAAUUACAAAGCAAGCAGGCAUGCAACAAAGAAAGCACACCAGGCUCCUUUGCAUCAAAAGGAAGUGGAAACAGCAAAAAUGCAAAUGACUUGAUAUUUUCCCCCCUUUCUUGCAUAAUAUA
RNAcentral lists this long non-coding RNA (514 nucleotides) under Pogona vitticeps (central bearded dragon). RNAcentral describes it as "lncRNA (ENSPVIG00000013822.1)". Lineage: Eukaryota; Metazoa; Chordata; Lepidosauria; Squamata; Agamidae. The record is from RNAcentral.